GACAGAGGGGGCAAGCGUUGCUCGGAAUCACUGGGCGUAAAGGGCGCGUAGGCGGGAUGGCAAGUCAGUCGUGAAAUCUCUCGGCUCAACCGAGAAACGUCGGCUGAUACUGCCGUUCUUGAGGGAUGCAGAGGAGACUGGAAUUCCCGGUGUAGCGGUGAAAUGUGUAGAGAUCGGGAGGAACACCGGUGGCGAAGGCGGGUCUCUGGGCAUCUCCUGACGCUGAGGCGCGAAAGCGUGGGGAGCAAACGAG
This 253-nucleotide ribosomal RNA is filed under the name uncultured bacterium. RNAcentral's name for it is "partial 16S ribosomal RNA". It matches the Rfam family "Bacterial small subunit ribosomal RNA", at positions 524 to 776 of the family's 1533-position model. The record is from RNAcentral.